This 257-nucleotide ribosomal RNA is filed under the name uncultured bacterium. Its description in RNAcentral is "partial 16S ribosomal RNA". It matches the Rfam family "Bacterial small subunit ribosomal RNA", at positions 99 to 354 of the family's 1533-position model. The record is from RNAcentral.
CGCACGGGUGAGUAACACGUAUGCAACUUGCCUGCCACAGCCGGAUAAUCGGGAGAAAUUCCGUCUAAUACGGCAUAAUGCAUCGACGGGACAUCCUGUUGGUGCCAAAGGUUAAUUCCGGUGGCGGAUGGGCAUGCGUCGCAUUAGUUAGUUGGCGGUGUAACGGACCACCAAGACGACGAUGCGUAGGGGUUCUGAGAGGAAGGUCCCCCACACUGGUACUGAGACACGGACCAGACUCCUACGGGAGGCAGCAG